This is a non-coding RNA of Ciona savignyi (Pacific transparent sea squirt), 77 nucleotides long. The record is from Rfam. NCBI's taxonomy places the organism in Eukaryota, Metazoa, Chordata, Ascidiacea, Phlebobranchia, Cionidae.
ACUGGUUUGGCCGAGUGGUUAAGGCAUUAAGUUCCAAUGGACAAUUGUCUGUGUGGGAUCGAACCCCACACCCAGUA